RNAcentral lists this unclassified non-coding RNA (309 nucleotides) under Sordariomycetes sp. Its description in RNAcentral is "partial contains 5.8S ribosomal RNA, internal transcribed spacer 2, and large subunit ribosomal RNA". The stretch from base 1 to 71 matches the Rfam family "5.8S ribosomal RNA", at positions 84 to 154 of the family's 154-position model. Lineage: Eukaryota; Fungi; Ascomycota; Sordariomycetes. The record is from RNAcentral.
GUGAGUCAUCGAAUCUUUGAACGCAUAUUGCGCCCGCCAGUACUCUGGCGGGCAUGCCUGUUCGAGCGUCAUUUCACCACUCAGGCCCGAGCCGCCUGGCGUUGGGGCGCUGCGGCCCGUCCCGCAGGCCCUCAAAUCUAGCGGCGGACCCCGCCCGGCCCUGAGCGUAGUAACAAGAGCCUCGCUCCGGCGGUCGUGGCGCGGUCCUGCCCUAGCCCACACUCAAACGGCGUUGCAAAGCGCCGUCCUAGUUGACCUCGGAUCAGGUAGGACUACCCGCUGAACUUAAGCAUAUCAAUAAGCGGAGGA